AUCCGGGUUGCGGACAGUGUCUGGUGGGUAGUUUGACUGGGGCGGUCUCCUCCUAAAGAGUAACGGAGGAGCACGAAGGUUGGCUAAUCCUGGUCGGACAUCAGGAGGUUAGUGCAAUGGCAUAAGCCAGCUUGACUGCGAGCGUGACGGCGCAAGCAGGUGCGAAAGCAGGUCAUAGUGAUCCGGUGGUUCUGAAUGGAAGGGCCAUCGCUCAACGGAUAAAAGGUACUCCGGGGAUAACAGGCUGAUACCGCCCAAGAGUUCAUAUCGACGGCGGUGUUUGGCACCUCGAUGUCGGCUCAUCACAUCCUGGGGCUGAAGUAGGUCCCAAGGGUAUGGCUGUUCGCCAUUUAAAGUGGUACGCGAGCUGGGUUUAGAACGUCGUGAGACAGUUCGGUCCCUAUCUGCCGUGGGCGCUGGAGAACUGAGGGGGGCUGCUCCUAGUACGAGAGGACCGGAGUGGACGCAUCACUGGUGUUCGGGUUGUCAUGCCAAUGGCACUGCCCGGUAGCUAAAUGCGGAAGAGAUAAGUGCUGAAAGCAUCUAAGCACGAAACUUGCCCCGAGAUGAGUUCUCCCUGAGACUUUAGAUCUCCUGAAGGAACGUUGAAGACGACGACGUUGAUAGGCCGGGUGUGUAAGCGCAGCGAUGCGUUGAGCUAACCGGUACUAAUGAACCGUGAGGCUUAACCUUACAACGCCGAAG
Molecule: ribosomal RNA, 705 nt
Filed under: Salmonella enterica
Lineage: Bacteria; Pseudomonadati; Pseudomonadota; Gammaproteobacteria; Enterobacterales; Enterobacteriaceae
Also listed under: 5 other names
Description: partial 23S ribosomal RNA
Rfam family: Bacterial large subunit ribosomal RNA
Source: RNAcentral